AGGACGAACGCUGGCGGCGUGCUUAACACAUGCAAGUCGAGCGGAAAGGCCCUUCGGGGUACUCGAGCGGCGAACGGGUGAGUAACACGUGAGUAACCUGCCCUGGACUUUGGGAUAACCCCUCGGAAAACGGGGGCUAAUACCGAAAUAUGACCCGAUACCGCAUGGUGAUGGGUGGAAAGUUUUUCGGCUGGGAUGGGCUCGCGGCCUAUCAGCUUGUUGGUGGGUGAUGGCCUACCGAAGGCGACGACGGGUAG
Molecule: ribosomal RNA, 257 nt
Filed under: uncultured bacterium
Lineage: Bacteria
Description: partial small subunit ribosomal RNA
Rfam family: Bacterial small subunit ribosomal RNA
Source: RNAcentral